Molecule: ribosomal RNA, 567 nt
Filed under: uncultured bacterium
Lineage: Bacteria
Description: partial 16S ribosomal RNA
Rfam family: Bacterial small subunit ribosomal RNA
Source: RNAcentral
UGGGGAAUAUUGCACAAUGGGCGCAAGCCUGAUGCAGCCAUGCCGCGUGUGUGAAGAAGGCCUUCGGGUUGUAAGGCACUUUCAGCGAGGAGGAAGGUGGUGAGCUUAAUACGCUCAUCAAUUGACGUUACUCGCAGAAGAAGCACCGGCUAACUCCGUGCCAGCAGCCGCGGUAAUACGGAGGGUGCAAGCGUUAAUCGGAAUUACUGGGCGUAAAGCGCACGCAGGCGGUUCGUUAAGUCAGNUGUGAAAUCCCCGGGCUCAACCUGGGAACUGCAUUUGAAACUGGCAAGCUAGAGUCUCGUAGAGGGGGGUAGAAUUCCAGGUGUAGCGGUGAAAUGCGUAGAGAUCUGGAGGAAUACCGGUGGCGAAGGCGGCCCCCUGGACGAAGACUGACGCUCAGGUGCGAAAGGCGUGGGGCAGCAAACAGGAUUAGAUACCCUGGUAGUCCACGCUGUAAACGAUGUCGAUUUUGGAGGUUGUGCCCUUGAGGCGUGGCUUCCGGAGCUAACGCGUUAAAUCGACCGCCUGGGGAGUACGGCCGCAAGGUUAAAACUUAAAUGAAUU